Small nucleolar RNA from Penicillium freii, 97 nucleotides. It matches the Rfam family "A. fumigatus snoRNA Afu_335". The record is from Rfam. NCBI's taxonomy places the organism in Eukaryota, Fungi, Ascomycota, Eurotiomycetes, Eurotiales, Aspergillaceae.
UCGUAUGAUGACUUUCCCGAUAGGGACAUCUGAUGCAAAUUGCAUAUGAUGUUAUCAGGACAAGAUAUUUUAGUAGAUGCUUCUUGACUAUCUGAAA